This 500-nucleotide ribosomal RNA is filed under the name uncultured bacterium. RNAcentral's name for it is "partial 16S ribosomal RNA". It matches the Rfam family "Bacterial small subunit ribosomal RNA", at positions 30 to 523 of the family's 1533-position model. The record is from RNAcentral.
AUUGAACGCUGGCGGCAGGCCUAACACAUGCAAGUCGAGCGGAUGAAGGAAGCUUGCUUCCCGAUUCAGCGGCGGACGGGUGAGUAAUGCCUAGGAAUCUGCCUAUUAGUGGGGGAUAACUCGGGGAAACUCGGGCUAAUACCGCAUACGUCCUACGGGAGAAAGUGGGGGAUCUUCGGACCUCACGCUAAUAGAUGAGCCUAGGUCGGAUUAGCUAGUUGGUGAGGUAACGGCUCACCAAGGCGACGAUCCGUAGCUGGUCUGAGAGGAUGAUCAGCCACACUGGAACUGAGACACGGUCCAGACUCCUACGGGAGGCAGCAGUGGGGAAUAUUGGACAAUGGGCGAAAGCCUGAUCCAGCCAUGCCGCGUGUGUGAAGAAGGUCUUCGGAUUGUAAAGCACUUUAAGUUGGGAGGAAGGUCUGUAAGCUAAUAUCUUGCAGUCUUGACGUUACCAACAGAAUAAGCACCGGCUAACUCUGUGCCAGCCGCCGCAGUAA